Long non-coding RNA from Cercocebus atys (sooty mangabey), 1364 nucleotides. RefSeq lists it as uncharacterized. The transcript is spliced from 3 exons. The record is from RefSeq and is a predicted model, not a curated record. Lineage: Eukaryota; Metazoa; Chordata; Mammalia; Primates; Cercopithecidae.
GAUCUGUGUGUGCGUUCGGUGUGUGGCCGGGUGUGGGGGGGUGUGUGAGCAGAGCACGUUUUAGCUGGAGUGCUUGGUGUGGUGUGUAUUUGGUUUGCGCUUUGACAUGCAGCAUGUGUUUGUGUGUGCACGCUUAUAGGUUGUAUGUUUUUGCCCGAUUAUAGUGGGAUUAUGUGGGUGCGGUUUGAAGGUGGGUGUGUGCUGCUCCUGCCGGGGUUUGUGGUCGUGCUGUGGUGAGUGCAUAUGUGUGUGCAGUGUGUGGAUGUGUGUGUGCCCGUUGAAGCUUGUGUGCAUGUGUGUGGUGUGUGUUUAUGCUUAGAUGCAGUGUGUCAAUGUGGGUUUACAGGUGGUGUUUGUUGAAGUGUGUAGUGUGUGAAUAUGCUCGUGUGCAAGAUUUCUCUGUAAGUCAAUCUACUUGAGGUGUGUGUUCAAAGGUUUAUGCAUGUGAGGGUGCGGUGUGUGUCUUUUGGUGUGAUGUUCUCAUGUGUGUGGUGUGGACGCAUGUGGUCAGCUUAAGUGCUUGGAUGAACGGGUUGUGUGUGUCUUGAAGGCGGAUUGCCGCAUAAGUGUAUGGGUGCGGUGUGUGAGAGUACAGGGUUGUCUAAAAGAACCCAAGUGACCGUGUGUGUGGUUGGGGGCGGGGACGAGUGGGACGUUGGGCUGGGACUGAGAGGAGAAAGAAGUAGGGGCCGCGACCCCCGCAGAGGUGCCCGCUGGUCUGAUCUUCACCGUGGGGGUUCGCCUGCCCGCUCACCUCUGUGGCCAGCUGGGGCAGGGUGUGAAUUUACCUGACUGCUUAGAGGAAAGAAGAGGAGGGCGCCGCACGUGAUUGGCCAGCCCUGUUCCUUCCUUUUGGACUAAUGGCUGAGUGACCCAACUGGAUUUCCUUGGCUUGAACCUGAGCAAGCCCUCUCUCUCUAAAGACUUGAAUGCCUACUCCCUUCACUGAGUGGUUUCUUCUGUUCCUGGCCAACUCAGGUGCAAUCCCUAGUGAGCCUGAUGAUCAAACUUCUCAGCGAUCAGAUUCCUGAAAGAGCAGUCUCUCCAUGACAAAAGAUGGGUUUGGGAAUGUGAAAGCACUUUCUGUGAAAGUUCUGCACCUGUGGUAGACUCAGAAACACAUACAAGGCUAUAAAUGUCUUUAUGCACUUAUUAAUUUUCCAAUAAACAUACUUGACAGUACACCUAAUAGGGAAGUUCUGUGAUUAAUUUUUCAAACAAUAAGAAAAUAAACGAUCAGAAAGGCUUACAGUCUCAUACCUACAAUCUGUCAGUAUCAACAUUUAUAAAUUAAAAGGCUUUGUUUUCUCAUGAUCACUGGAUGCUUGGCACACAUAUUGGCUGAAAAAACAGAAAAAAACCUC